This 404-nucleotide ribosomal RNA is filed under the name uncultured bacterium. RNAcentral's name for it is "partial 16S ribosomal RNA". It matches the Rfam family "Bacterial small subunit ribosomal RNA", at positions 28 to 526 of the family's 1533-position model. The record is from RNAcentral.
GACGAACGCUGGCGGCGUGCCUAAUACAUGCAAGUCGAACGCAGUGGGGACGUGUGAGUAACACGUGGGUAACCUCCCCAUCAGAGGGGAUAACACUUGGAAACCGGUGCUACACCGAUAGUGAUGGAUGGACCCGGGGUGCAGUAGCUAGUUGGUGAGGUAACGGCUCACCAAGGCCACGAUGCAUAGCCGACGUGAUGGGGUGAUCGGCCACACUGGGACUGAGACACGGCCCAGACUCCUACGUGAGGCAGCAUUAGGUAAUCUUCGGCAAUGGAGGAAAGCCUGAUCGAGCCACGCCGCGGUAGUGAAGAAGGUUUUCGGAUCGUAAAACUCUGUUGUUAGAGAAGCGGUAUCUAACCAGAAAGCCACGGCUAACUACGUGCCAGCAGCCGCGGUAAUAC